GUCAGUUGGGACCCCCGACAAGGUUUAAUUAACAUUGUUAAAAAAAAGUCAGUUGGGAUCCCUGAGAAGGUUUAAUUAACAUUUUUAAAAAAAGUCAGUUGGGACCCCCGAGAAGGUUUAAUUAACAUUGUUAAAAAAAGUCAG
Long non-coding RNA from Zophobas morio, 144 nucleotides. RefSeq lists it as uncharacterized. NCBI's taxonomy places the organism in Eukaryota, Metazoa, Arthropoda, Insecta, Coleoptera, Tenebrionidae. The record is from RefSeq and is a predicted model, not a curated record. The transcript has 3 exons.